UCCUAGAAGAGCCUGUGGGCCAUGCUGU
Molecule: non-coding RNA, 28 nt
Filed under: Mus musculus (house mouse)
Lineage: Eukaryota; Metazoa; Chordata; Mammalia; Rodentia; Muridae
Source: RNAcentral